GGAUGUGAAGGCUAUCUGACUGUGACAUCCAUUAUCCCAUUGAUCAUCACAUUGAUUCAGCUGAUCAGGCUGAGUAGGUGGGUGUCCCCUUCCUCCUACAUGCCUGCAUGCGUAUCCCUUGGAAGCAGCUCGCUCCAUCCAAGACUGCCUUUCCCUAAUACACGUGUUCAUUCUUUGGUAAAGGGAAGGAGAGUACCUCCGCUCUCCUGCUAGAACCUCCAAAGCAUUUCAAAUAACCCUGGAUUUCUCAACAGUAUCUAUUGAUACAAUAGUCAAUGAAAUAAAAUUUAUAAAAUUAUAAAGUGAAACAAUGAGCUGCAAGUGUUCUAUAUU
RNAcentral lists this small nuclear RNA (333 nucleotides) under Sorex araneus (European shrew). Its description in RNAcentral is "7SK RNA (ENSSARG00000017927.1)". It matches the Rfam family "7SK RNA". Rfam says of the family: 7SK was discovered as an abundant small nuclear RNA in the mid-70s but a possible function has only recently been suggested. Lineage: Eukaryota; Metazoa; Chordata; Mammalia; Eulipotyphla; Soricidae. The record is from RNAcentral.